AAUAAGUGCAGCCGUGGGUAUCCGUGUCCAACGUUUGACCGUCCGUCUUAUUUGAAAAAAUUAUGAAAAAAUUGAAAAAAAUUAGUCCCAUAUAAAGUACUAUUCAUGUUUUAUCAUCUAAUAACAAUAAAAAUACUAAUUAUUAAAAAAAUUUAAAUAAGACGAAUGGUCAAAUGUUAGACAUAAAUAGUGCAAAACUACACUUUUU
RNAcentral lists this microRNA precursor (208 nucleotides) under Oryza glumipatula. RNAcentral describes it as "MIR812 microRNA precursor family". It matches the Rfam family "MIR812 microRNA precursor family". Lineage: Eukaryota; Viridiplantae; Streptophyta; Magnoliopsida; Poales; Poaceae. The record is from Rfam by way of RNAcentral.